GUAAGUUGUAUGUCAUUCAUUUUUAUUUGUUGUGCUAAUUUUCGAUUGUUGUUUUUUCCGGAUGACUUGACCUUGAUUUUGGUGGCUUAAAAGCUGAAGCUUGCACGCACCCAUUGCUGUGAAUUAUUCUGGAAUGGGUAGCUGGACAACUGAGCUCUUAGAAUGAUGACUACGAUGGCGAUGACGACGUGCGUCGGCGGCGGCGUUGGCGAUGACGAUGAUGAUGAAGAUGAAGGUGAUGAGGAUGAUGGUUAUGAUGGUGAUGAUUAU
This is a long non-coding RNA of Eupeodes corollae, 270 nucleotides long. RefSeq lists it as uncharacterized. The transcript has 3 exons. The record is from RefSeq and is a predicted model, not a curated record. NCBI's taxonomy places the organism in Eukaryota, Metazoa, Arthropoda, Insecta, Diptera, Syrphidae.